This 468-nucleotide ribosomal RNA is filed under the name uncultured bacterium. Its description in RNAcentral is "partial 16S ribosomal RNA". It matches the Rfam family "Bacterial small subunit ribosomal RNA", at positions 28 to 507 of the family's 1533-position model. The record is from RNAcentral.
GACGAACGCUGGCGGCGUGCUUAACACAUGCCAGUCGAACGGAAAGGCCCUGCUUUUGUGGGGUGCUCGAGUGGCGAACGGGUGAGUAACACGUUAGUAACCUGCCCUUGACUUUGUUAUAACUUCAGGAAACUUGGGCUAAUACCGUAUAGGAUCUCCUGCUGCAUGGUGUGGGUUGGAAAGUUUCGUCGGUUGGGGAUGGACUCGCGGCUUAUCAGCUUGUUGGUGGGGUAGUGGCUUACCAAGGCUUUGACGGGUAGCAGGACUGAGAGGGUGACCGGCGACAAUGGGACUGAGAUAGGGACCAGACUCCUACGGGAGGCAGCAGUGGGGAAUAGUGCAAAAUGGGCGGAAGCCUGAUGAAGCAACGCGGCGUGCGGGAUGACGGCCUUCGGGUUGUAAAACGCUUUCGCAUGUGACGAAGCGUGAGUGACGGUAAUGGGUAAAGAAGCACCGGCUAACUACGUG